GAUGAACGCUGGCGGCGUGCUUAACACAUGCAAGUCGAACGGAAAGGCCGAAGCUAGCUUCGGUACUCGAGUGGCGAACGGGUGAGUAACACGUGGGUGAUCUGCCCUGUACUUCGGGAUAAGCUUGGGAAACUGGGUCUAAUACCGGAUAUGACCAUCUCUUGGAUGGGGUUGUGGAAAGCUUUUGCGGUAUGGGAUGAGCUCGCGGCCUAUCAGCUUGUUGGUGGGGUAAUGGCCUACUAAGGCGUCGACGGGUAGCCGGCCUGAGAGGGUGUACGGCCAAAUUGGGACUGAGAUACGGCCCAGACUCCUACGGUAGGCAGCAGUGGGGAAUAUUGCACAAUGGGCACAAGCCUGAUGCAGCGACGCCGCGUGGGGGAUGACGGCCUUCGGGUUGUAAACUCCUGUCGCAAUCGACGAAGCCUUUUGGUGACAGUAGGUUGAGAAGAAGCACCGGCUAACUACGUG
RNAcentral lists this ribosomal RNA (468 nucleotides) under uncultured bacterium. Its description in RNAcentral is "partial 16S ribosomal RNA". It matches the Rfam family "Bacterial small subunit ribosomal RNA", at positions 28 to 507 of the family's 1533-position model. The record is from RNAcentral.